AACCUAGCACACCUGCGGUGUGUACCUGCGGAGGGAUCAUUACCUAGAGUUGUAGGCUUUGCCUGCUAUCUCUUACCCAUGUCUUUUGAGUACCUUACGUUUCCUCGGCGGGUUCGCCCGCCGGUUGGACAAAACUUAAACCCUUUGUAGUUGCAAUCAGCGUCUGAAAAAACUUAAUAGUUACAACUUUUAGCAAUGGAUCU
RNAcentral lists this unclassified non-coding RNA (203 nucleotides) under soil metagenome. RNAcentral's name for it is "partial contains 5.8S ribosomal RNA, internal transcribed spacer 2, and large subunit ribosomal RNA". The record is from RNAcentral.